Molecule: ribosomal RNA, 499 nt
Filed under: uncultured bacterium
Lineage: Bacteria
Description: bacterial SSU rRNA
Rfam family: Bacterial small subunit ribosomal RNA
Source: RNAcentral
GACGAACGCUGGCGGCGUGCCUAAUACAUGCAAGUCGAGCGGAAUGAUGAAGAAGCUGGCUUCUUCUGAUUUUAGCGGCGACGGGUGAGUAACACGUGGGCAACCUACCUUGUAGAUUGGGAUAACUCCGGGAAACCGGGGCUAAUACCGAAUAAUCCAUUUUGCUUCAUGGCGAGAUGUUGAAAGACGGUUUCGGCUGUCACUACAAGAUGGGCCCGCGGCGCAUUAGCUAGUUGGUAGGGUAAUGGCCUACCAAGGCGACGAUGCGUAGCCGACCUGAGAGGGUGAUCGGCCACACUGGGACUGAGACACGGCCCAGACUCCUACGGGAGGCAGCAGUAGGGAAUCUUCCGCAAUGGACGAAAGUCUGACGGAGCAACGCCGCGUGAGUGAAGAAGGUUUUCGGAUCGUAAAACUCUGUUGUUAGGGAAGAACGCGUACGAGAGUAACUGCUCGUACCUUGACGGUACCUAACCAGAAAGCCACGGCUAACUACGUG